RNA transcript from Carassius gibelio (silver crucian carp), 843 nucleotides. It is a transcript of the gene named golgin subfamily A member 4-like, with no coding region annotated. The transcript has 3 exons. NCBI's taxonomy places the organism in Eukaryota, Metazoa, Chordata, Actinopteri, Cypriniformes, Cyprinidae. The record is from RefSeq and is a predicted model, not a curated record.
AAUAAUUCACAAUCGUCCUUUCUGAGCCUCUCGUGGAUCCGUAGCUACUCACUUUUCCUCCACGUCAGCUGCAUCUGCGCACUGCUCUCAUCCACACAUACACAUAAGUUUCUUAUUCUGUUAAACGUACAGUAAAAUCGUUUCUAACGUGGCAAUAAACGCAUGGAGUGAUGUUUAAGAAGCUGAAGCAGAAGGUGAUCGAGGAGCAGUCUCCUCAGCGGAGCAGCGCGCAGGUGAGUUCAGGAGAGAGGCGCGCUCAGCCCCCUUUGUUGAACCAAGAUGCCCCGUCCUCCCCAAGUGACCGAGAGAGAACUUUGUGCAGAGAUUUCAAAUCAGUUUGAUAAUCUACAGCUGGUUGGCUACCACACGACAUGCUAUUAUUGUACUACUGCGAUCUAAUAAUAGUCUAGAUUUUUCAGUUUUGUCAUUUCUGGACCGUGACAUUAAACCUUAUUUGAAGCAUGAACAUUUAAACAUGAUAAAUAAUGAUAUAUGAAUGCAUCUUCUGACUUUCAGAGACUCUGCUUGGUUUAUCCUUUGGCGCUUUUUCACGAAUUAUUGAUGUUUGUCCUCUUUUAUGAAUCGUAGCUUAAAUAGAAUGUACCUCAGAAUAAAUAUAUCUCCAUUGAAGGGAAACUGGUUUACUCUUCAGUGAGCUGAGGUUAUGAUUGCACUUUGUCUUUCAACCACAUUUUCUGUUUGUAUUUCUUUUUGAAAUUUCCAUCAGAUCUCAGAAUAAAUUCAUCAUCUCAGCAUUUCCAGGACUCAACAAUAAAGAUUUAUUUAUUUAUUUAUAUUUGAUUGCACUGACAGCAUUUUUACCAGUCCAUGACAAUUAGUAUA